UACAGGGGGGGCAAGCGUUUGUUCGGAAUUACUGGGCGUAAGGGCUCGUAGGUGGCCAACUAAGUCAGACGUGAAAUCCCUCAGCUAACUGGGGAACUGCGUCUGAUACUGGAUGGCUUGGAGUUUGGGAGAGGGAUGCGGAAUUCCAGGUGUAGCGGUGAAAUGCGUAGAUAUCUGGAGGAACACCUGCGGUGUACGACGCUUUCU
This 207-nucleotide ribosomal RNA is filed under the name uncultured bacterium. RNAcentral's name for it is "partial 16S ribosomal RNA". It matches the Rfam family "Bacterial small subunit ribosomal RNA", at positions 524 to 730 of the family's 1533-position model. The record is from RNAcentral.